CAGAUCAGUGAUAGAAAUGAAAUCCUACAUUACUUUUAUUCCAAGUUUGACAAAUCCUACAUUGCUGGCUUAUGUAAAGAACUUGCUAAAGGUGCCAAAGAGAAAAAAGACCAGAUAUGUCUGGAACUUUUCAGACAAGCUGGGGAAAUUCUAGCAGAACACAUUCUUGGAGUUGGACCAAGAAUUGCAGAGGAAUUACUGAACACACCCAGUGGAUUACAGGUUGUCACAGUAGGGUCUGUCUGGAAAAGCUGGGACCUCAUGAAGGACGGU
Long non-coding RNA from Saccostrea cuccullata (small rock oyster), 273 nucleotides. RefSeq lists it as uncharacterized. The transcript is spliced from 3 exons. NCBI's taxonomy places the organism in Eukaryota, Metazoa, Mollusca, Bivalvia, Ostreida, Ostreidae. The record is from RefSeq and is a predicted model, not a curated record.